This 461-nucleotide ribosomal RNA is filed under the name uncultured bacterium. Its description in RNAcentral is "partial 16S ribosomal RNA". It matches the Rfam family "Bacterial small subunit ribosomal RNA", at positions 29 to 507 of the family's 1533-position model. The record is from RNAcentral.
ACGAACGCUGGCGGCGUGCUUAACACCUGCAAGUCGAGCGGAAAGGCCCUUCGGGGUACUCGAGCGGCGAACGGGUGAGUCACACGUGAGUAACCUGCCCCAGACUUUGGGAUAACCCUCGGAAACGGGGGCUAAUACCGGAUACGACACAGCUUCGCAUGGGGUCUGUGUGGAAAGUUUUUCGGUUUGGGAUGGGCUCGCGGCCUAUCAGCUUGUUGGUGGGGUGAUGGCCUACCAAGGCGACGACGGGUAGCCGGCCUGAGAGGGCGACCGGCCACACUGGGACUGAGACACGGCCCAGACUCCUACGGGAGGCAGCAGUGGGGAAUAUUGCACAAUGGGCGGAAGCCUGAUGCAGCGACGCCGCGUGAGGGAUGACGGCCUUCGGGUUGUAAACCUCUUUCAGCAGGGACGAAGCGUAAGUGACGGUACCUGCAGAAGAAGCGCCGGCCAACUACGUG